GCCUUCGUGGUGUAAUGGUUAGCACACUCGACCCGUGUUUUAGAGGGCCGUGGUUCGAUUCCCGGCGAGGGUA
RNAcentral lists this transfer RNA (73 nucleotides) under Stegodyphus mimosarum. It matches the Rfam family "tRNA". Rfam says of the family: Transfer RNA (tRNA) molecules are approximately 80 nucleotides in length. Their secondary structure includes four short double-helical elements and three loops (D, anti-codon, and T loops). Lineage: Eukaryota; Metazoa; Arthropoda; Arachnida; Araneae; Eresidae. The record is from Rfam by way of RNAcentral.